AUUGAACGCUGGCGGCAUGCUUUACACAUGCAAGUCGAACGGUAACAGGCCUUCGGGUGCUGACGAGUGGCGAACGGGUGAGUAAUGCAUCGGAACGUGCCCAAUCGUGGGGGAUAACGUAGCGAAAGUUACGCUAAUACCGCAUAAGCCCUGAGGGGGAAAGUGGGGGACCGCAAGGCCUCACGCGAAUGGAGCGGCCGAUGUCAGAUUAGCUAGUUGGUGGGGGUAAAGGCCCACCAAGGCGACGAUCUGUAGCGGGUCUGAGAGGAUGAUCCGCCACACUGGGACUGAGACACGGCCCAGACUCCUACGGGAGGCAGCAGUGGGGAAUUUUGGACAAUGGGCGCAAGCCUGAUCCAGCCAUGCCGCGUGCGGGACGAAGGCC
Molecule: ribosomal RNA, 385 nt
Filed under: uncultured bacterium
Lineage: Bacteria
Description: bacterial SSU rRNA
Rfam family: Bacterial small subunit ribosomal RNA
Source: RNAcentral